Molecule: ribosomal RNA, 490 nt
Filed under: uncultured bacterium
Lineage: Bacteria
Description: partial 16S ribosomal RNA
Rfam family: Bacterial small subunit ribosomal RNA
Source: RNAcentral
AUUGAACGCUGGCGGCAGGCCUAACACAUGCAAGUCGAACGGUAACAGGAAACUGCUUGCUGUUUCGCUGACGAGUGGCGGACGGGUGAGUAAUGUCUGGGAAACUGCCUGAUGGAGGGGGAUAACUACUGGAAACGGUAGCUAAUACCGCAUAACGUCGCAAGACCAAAGAGGGGGACCCUCGGGCCUCUUGCCAUCGGAUGUGCCCAGAUGGGAUUAGCUUGUUGGUGGGGUAACGGCUCACCAAGGCGACGAUCCCUAGCUGGUCUGAGAGGAUGACCAGCCACACUGGAACUGAGACACGGUCCAGACUCCUACGGGAGGCAGCAGUGGGGAAUAUUGCACAAUGGGCGCAAGCCUGAUGCAGCCAUGCCGCGUGUAUGAAGAAGGCCUUCGGGUUGUAAAGUACUUUCAGCGGGGAGGAAGGGAGUAAAGUUAAUACCUUUGCUCAUUGACGUUACCCGCAGAAGAAGCACCGGCUAACUCCGUG